Caenorhabditis elegans is the source of this 137-nucleotide non-coding RNA. The record is from Ensembl. Lineage: Eukaryota; Metazoa; Nematoda; Chromadorea; Rhabditida; Rhabditidae.
CAAUCCCCCGUAUCUCUAGGCCAUGUGGUGACGGAAGAUUUAUUCCGGACUAAGCGACGAGUCGCGGGAGCCCGUGGAGAACCAGAAGACUAGAGAUAGCAAAACCCAAAAAGUUGUUUGUUGUCUUCUUCUUCCUC